GAGUUUGAUCCUGGCUCAGAAUCAACGCUGGCGGCGUGCCUAACACAUGCAAGUCGAGCGAGAAAAGGGGGGCAACUCCCUGAGUACAGCGGCGCACGGGUGAGUAACACGUGGGUAAUCUGCCCUGGAGUGGGGAAUAACACCGGGAAACCGGUGCUAAUACCGCAUACGAUAACGAGGUCUGCGGACCAUGUUAUGAAAGGAGCAAUUCGCUCCAGGAGGAGCCCGCGGCUGAUUAGCUAGUUGGUGAGGUAAUGGCUCACCAAGGCAACGAUCAGUAUCCGGUCUGAGAGGACGGUCGGACACACUGGAACUGAGACACGGUCCAGACUCCUACGGGAGGCAGCAGUGGGGAAUUUUUGGCAAUGGGGGAAACCCUGACCAAGCAACGCCGCGUGGGUGAUGAAGUCUCUUGGGACGUAAAACCCUUUCGACGGGGAAGAAACCGCAAGGUUGACGGUACCCGUAGAAGAAGCCCCGGCUAACUCCGUGCCAGCAGCCGCGGUAAUACGGGGGGGGCAAGCGUUGUUCGGAAUUACUGGGCGUAAAGGGCGCGUAGGCGGUUUGCCAAGUUGGAUGUGAAAACUCUGGGCUCAACCCAGAGCCUGCAU
Molecule: ribosomal RNA, 611 nt
Filed under: uncultured bacterium
Lineage: Bacteria
Description: bacterial SSU rRNA
Rfam family: Bacterial small subunit ribosomal RNA
Source: RNAcentral